This 96-nucleotide transfer RNA is filed under the name Xylariaceae sp. FL1019. Its description in RNAcentral is "tRNA-Ile". The record is from RNAcentral. Lineage: Eukaryota; Fungi; Ascomycota; Sordariomycetes; Xylariales; Xylariaceae.
GGUCUGCUAGCUCAGUUGGUUAGAGCGUCGUACUAAUAGUCCACCAGUGGAAUAUCGGUAAUGCGAAGGUCAUGAGUUCGACCCUCAUGUGGACCA